GAAAUGCGAUAAGUAAUGUGAAUUGCAGAAUUCAGUGAAUCAUCGAAUCUUUGAACGCACAUUGCGCCCGCCAGCACUCUGGCGGGCAUGCCUGUUCGAGCGUCAUUUCAACCCUCAGAACCCCUUGCGGGAUCUGGCGUUGGGGAUUGGCAUCCAGCCAGCCCCGAAAUCUGGUGGCGGUCCCUCCGCGACCUCCCCUGUGCAGUAGCGAUACCUCGCAGCGGGACAGCGGUCUGACCACGCCGUAAAACCCCCAACUUCUCAAGGUUGACCUCGAAUCAGGUAGGAAUGCCCGCUGAACUUAAGC
Molecule: unclassified non-coding RNA, 307 nt
Filed under: plant metagenome
Description: partial contains 5.8S ribosomal RNA, internal transcribed spacer 2, and large subunit ribosomal RNA
Rfam family: 5.8S ribosomal RNA (bases 1-105)
Source: RNAcentral